Non-coding RNA from Hipposideros armiger (great roundleaf bat), 536 nucleotides. Lineage: Eukaryota; Metazoa; Chordata; Mammalia; Chiroptera; Hipposideridae. The record is from the annotation of a RefSeq genome assembly.
UUGGGUCUGGAAGGAGCUUGUACAAAGGAAACCCACUUAGGAGCAGUCAGAUUCAUCAACUCUCUCUGAGGAGAAAGAAGAGGGAGAUGCUGCUCAUAGUACCAGUGUUGUUCCUAUGGAUGCACAUAUCACAAGUGAAUGGACAACAGCUAAAGCAAAUUCCUCAGUUCCUGCUCCUACAAGAAGGACAGAACUUCACCACAUACUGCAAUUCCUCAACCACUUUUAACAGCUUACAGUGGUAUAUGCAAAGCCCUGGGGGAAGCCCUGUUCUCUUGAUGAUAUUAGUCAAAUCUGGAGACGUGGUGAAGCAGAAUAGACUCAUAGCUCAGUUUGGAGAGGCUAGAAAAGACAGCUCCCUGCAGAUCACGGGGGCCCAGACUACAGAUAUAGGAACCUACUUCUGCGCAGAGACACAGUGUUCUCGAAACACCUGGUGCCUGUCCCCAAACCUUGCUGCGGGGCUCCAGGAGCAGCUCCUCCUUAUUUCUCCUCAAAGCAAGAGUCAGAGAAAGCUGAAAUCACAAUGUCUAUGA